CAGCUUGGUGGCCAGCGAGCAGCCGUUCGUGUAGGCGUCAGGCCGGACGUGGGCGGGGAAGCGGCGAGACAGGAUCUCCGCCACCAGCUUUUCCCAAGUCAAGUUUGAAAAGCACUCUGCACACCUGAAGAAAAUGAGUAUCUACUAAGCUGUGAAUGCUCCGAAGAACAUCUGUUAAUAUAAUUAUUAAAGUGACAUCUGAAAUUCAGUGAUGCCAGAUCCCACUCUGAAGUCUGUAUUGCAUCUACACCCACCUUAUCUCCCUGCCCUCACACAGAGACAUCAGCAGCUGGCUGCUAAAACCUUUCAAAUCUAAAUGCUUGCACCAUCUCUAUUAGAAUAAAAAUCUUAAAGCAAAGUACUGCAGAAAACAAUUGUGCAAAUCAGGGUUGGGAAAAGCUUCCACAUUCCUACUGAUUUAUUGGUAAACAUAAUAAUUAACCAUGAAAUACCACAGAGAUGAAAAUAUGUUCAAAAUAAACAUGCAGCAUUAAUAAACAUCAGAUUUGUUUUAAAAUAAAUUUUGUAUCGAGAUUGCUGCCUUCUGCUAUUCUACAACCUUGCUAAGCCUCUUAUUUAAAAAGCAUCAACAAGAAUAUAAAUAAAUGAAGAACUGUUUUAAUUCAGCAUUGUCUGUGACAGCAGAAUUAGUAAUAUAGUCUAUUCCAAAACUGUUCAUUUAUUAAGUACCUACUGGUGCAGUUUCUGACAGAUGCUGAGUAUGUUGAAUACAAGGCAUCUCUAUCUUUAUUUACCACUAGCCACACUAGUCCCAAGUUCUCUGGCGUUCAUUCAGGAAGGGCAGCCUACAUUACUUUGUAAACUCUAAUAAGGAAAGAAUAAAUAGACUAAAUAGAAUAAAUAGACUCAUUGUAUUAAUGGGCAAAGUUAAAAAUAAAUUAAUUACAAAUUAUCAUACAAUACCUAAAUCUCCAUCUCCCCAUGGUACUUCCAAACAAUUGCAAUUAUAAAUCCUACUCAUUUCUUUCAAUCUGGAAAAAAAAAACAAUAAAUUUAAAUAAACCCAUUCUUGCUAG
Centrocercus urophasianus (Greater sage-grouse) is the source of this 1037-nucleotide long non-coding RNA. RefSeq lists it as uncharacterized. The record is from RefSeq and is a predicted model, not a curated record. The transcript is spliced from 4 exons. NCBI's taxonomy places the organism in Eukaryota, Metazoa, Chordata, Aves, Galliformes, Phasianidae.